This 447-nucleotide ribosomal RNA is filed under the name uncultured bacterium. Its description in RNAcentral is "bacterial SSU rRNA". It matches the Rfam family "Bacterial small subunit ribosomal RNA", at positions 355 to 825 of the family's 1533-position model. The record is from RNAcentral.
UGGGGAAUAUUGGACAAUGGGCGCAAGCCUGACCCAGCAACGCCGCGUGAAGGAUGAAGUAUUUCGGUAUGUAAACUUCGAAAGAAUAGGGAGAAUAAAUGACGGUACUAUUUAUAAGGUCCGGCUAACUACGUGCCAGCAGCCGCGGUAAUACGUAGGGACCAAGCGUUGUUCGGAUUUACUGGGCGUAAAGGGCGCGUAGGCGGCAAUUCAAGUCAUCUGUGAAAUCUCCGGGCUUAACUCGGAACGGUCAGAUGAUACUGCUUUGCUAGAGUGCAGAAGGGGCAAUCGGAAUUCUUGGUGUAGCGGUGAAAUGCGUAGAUAUCAAGAGGAACACCAGUGGCGAAGGCGGCUAACUGGUCCGGUACUGACGCUGAGGUGCGAAAGCGUGGGGAGCAAACAGGAUUAGAUACCCACGUAGUCCCUGAGCGGGCUGGCAAGGCGCAU